RNAcentral lists this small RNA (28 nucleotides) under Bombyx mori (domestic silkworm). Its description in RNAcentral is "ovarian small RNA-16401". Lineage: Eukaryota; Metazoa; Arthropoda; Insecta; Lepidoptera; Bombycidae. The record is from RNAcentral.
GCACUAAAAACUCCUGCCGCUCACGACC